RNAcentral lists this transfer RNA (75 nucleotides) under Candidatus Portnoybacteria bacterium CG10_big_fil_rev_8_21_14_0_10_44_7. RNAcentral describes it as "tRNA-Arg". It matches the Rfam family "tRNA". Rfam says of the family: Transfer RNA (tRNA) molecules are approximately 80 nucleotides in length. Their secondary structure includes four short double-helical elements and three loops (D, anti-codon, and T loops). Further hydrogen bonds mediate the characteristic L-shaped molecular structure. tRNAs have two regions of fundamental functional importance: the anti-codon, which is responsible for specific mRNA codon recognition, and the 3' end, to which the tRNAs corresponding amino acid is attached (by aminoacyl-tRNA synthetases). tRNAs cope with the degeneracy of the genetic code in two manners: having more than one tRNA (with a specific anti-codon) for a particular amino acid; and 'wobble' base-pairing, i.e. permitting non-standard base-pairing at the 3rd anti-codon position. Lineage: Bacteria; Candidatus Portnoyibacteriota. The record is from RNAcentral.
CUCCCCGUAGUUCAAUGGAUAGAACAGUGGCGUCCUAAGCCAUUAAUGUAGGUUCGAUUCCUACCGGGGAGGCAA